RNAcentral lists this long non-coding RNA (222 nucleotides) under Mytilus galloprovincialis (Mediterranean mussel). Lineage: Eukaryota; Metazoa; Mollusca; Bivalvia; Mytilida; Mytilidae. The record is from RNAcentral.
GGUUGUUCUUGCAACGUUGCAUUUUCAUCGUACAUAACCGAGGCUAGUGCAAAUUCACAAAGUGCAUCUAUGACAGACGGAGCCAUCAUUAAAUUCGACAGAACAGAGGCAAAUUACGGUGCAGGAUAUAGUACCAGUACAGGAAAGUUUACAGCACCUUCCUCUGGUGUUUACGGGUUCACAUGGACCUUUUGCGUCGAUUCACGUACUACUGACGGUGGU